Molecule: long non-coding RNA, 420 nt
Filed under: Coffea arabica (coffee)
Lineage: Eukaryota; Viridiplantae; Streptophyta; Magnoliopsida; Gentianales; Rubiaceae
Description: long non-coding RNA (CARA_LNC003259)
Source: RNAcentral
UAGGCUCAAAUGGGAGAGCAAGUGAUAAAAAUCUGUAUAGAUAGUGAAACAAAUGCUCAAAGUAAAUUUUCAAAACAAACAAGAAUAAUGCACAUUUUUGCUUUCACUUAGAUGUGAAUUGAAUCGAUUAAACACAAUGGAUAUUUUCAAGCAAAGAUGGCCCCAAUUUGCAAUUUAUCAAUCAAUGUGACUGAUUUUAUUUUGGGGUUCAGUGAAGGAGAAAAGAUAUCUCAUUGGGCCUUCUGAAUGACCUCUUUUAAUUCUGAACACUCUUAUUGUGAAUUUUCAGGUCGGAGGUUGAAAAAAUCCCAAUUUAGUCUUAUUUCUUAAAAUUCAUCAUGCAAUCUCCAAUGAAUAAGAAUAAAGAAUGAAAUGUACAUAAAUAUACACAAAACAAUGAUUGUCCAAAAAAUUUAUUGC